GCAUGGCCGUCGUCAGCUCGUGCCGUGAGGUGUUGGGUUAAGUCCCGCAACGAGCGCAACCCCCGCCGUUAGUUGCCAGCGGUUCGGCCGGGCACUCUAACGGGACUGCCCGCGAAAGCGGGAGGAAGGAGGGGACGACGUCUGGUCAGCAUGGCCCUUACGGCCUGGGCGACACACGUGCUACAAUGCCCACUACAAAGCGAUGCCACCCGGCAACGGGGAGCUAAUCGCAAAAAGGUGGGCCCAGUUCGGAUUGGGGUCUGCAACCCGACCCCAUGAAGCCGGAAUCGCUAGUAAUCGCGGAUCAGCCAUGCCGCGGUGAAUACGUUCCCGGGCCUU
This 339-nucleotide ribosomal RNA is filed under the name uncultured Thermus sp. Its description in RNAcentral is "bacterial SSU rRNA". It matches the Rfam family "Bacterial small subunit ribosomal RNA", at positions 1043 to 1382 of the family's 1533-position model. Lineage: Bacteria; Thermotogati; Deinococcota; Deinococci; Thermales; Thermaceae. The record is from RNAcentral.